GAUGAACGCUGGCGGCGUGCCUAACACAUGCAAGUCGAACGAAGCGCCUUACCGGAUUCUUCGGCUGAAGGUCUGGUGACUGAGUGGCGGACGGGUGAGUAACGCGUGGGUAACCUGCCCUGUACAGGGGGAUAACAGCUGGAAACGGCUGCUAAUACCGCAUAAGCGCACGAGGAGACAUCUCCUUGUGUGAAAAACUCCGGUGGUACAGGAUGGGCCCGCGUCUGAUUAGCUGGUUGGCAGGGUAACGGCCUACCAAGGCAACGAUCAGUAGCCGGUCUGAGAGGAGGAACGGCCAAAUUGGAACUGAGACACGGUCCAAACUCCUCCGGGAGGAAGCAGUGGGGAAUAUUGCACAAUGGGGGAAACCCUGAUGCAGCAACGCCGCGUGAGUGAAGAAGUAUUUCGGUAUGUAAAGCUUUAUAAGCAGGGAAGAUAAGAACGGUACCGGACUAAGAAGCUCCGGCUAAAUACGG
Molecule: ribosomal RNA, 476 nt
Filed under: uncultured bacterium
Lineage: Bacteria
Description: partial 16S ribosomal RNA
Rfam family: Bacterial small subunit ribosomal RNA
Source: RNAcentral